AUGAACGCUGGCGGCGUGCCUAAUACAUGCAAGUCGAGCGAACGGACGAGAAGCUUGCUUCUCUGAUGUUAGCGGCGGACGGGUGAGUAACACGUGGAUAACCUACCUAUAAGACUGGGAUAACUUCGGGAAACCGGAGCUAGUACCGGAUGAUAUUUUGAACCGCAUGGUUCAAAAGUGAAAGACGGUCUUGCUGUCACUUAUAGAUGGAUCCGCGCUGCAUUAGCUAGUUGGUAAGGUAACGGCUUACCAAGGCAACGAUGCAUAGCCGACCUGAGAGGGUGAUCGGCCACACUGGAACUGAGACACGGUCCAGACUCCUACGGGAGGCAGCAGUAGGGAAUCUUCCGCAAUGGGCGAAAGCCUGACGGAGCAACGCCGCGUGAGUGAUGAAGGUCUUCGGAUCGUAAAACUCUGUUAUUAGGGAAGAACAUAUGUGUAAGUAACUGUGCACAUCUUGACGGUACCUAAUCAGAAAGCCACGGCUAACUACGU
RNAcentral lists this ribosomal RNA (495 nucleotides) under uncultured bacterium. RNAcentral's name for it is "partial 16S ribosomal RNA". It matches the Rfam family "Bacterial small subunit ribosomal RNA", at positions 29 to 506 of the family's 1533-position model. The record is from RNAcentral.